CGCCAGACGGCCGUUUAGAUGUCACUAAGGAAAGACUGUGGUGCUCUUUAACAAUUUCUGCGCAAAUGGUGCUUUACUGAAAUUGCUCCAAAGGUUCUACCGUGACCACCAUUGAACUCUCGUGACCUUUAGACAGUCUUCAGAGUCGAUAUCGGAUAUGUCAAAGACCAAAUGUAUCGGUCUUGCUGAGCGUUUCUUGCUUUUUGUACCCCGGGAUGUGGCUUAUCAUUUAAUGAUCCAAUGCAAUUUGGUUGAAUUUGUAGAUGAUUUGGGUUAUUGUAAAGGCUACAAUUUCAGUCUUCUCGUAAAUGUAUGCUGUGUAAGGCUUCAUUGGAUCAUGCUCAAAACUGCAUGUCGCUGGUUGUCAGAAAGUUCUGGCAUUUACUCAUAUGUUUAUUGAAGUUUCUUAACAAUAAGGUCG
Molecule: long non-coding RNA, 421 nt
Filed under: Mytilus galloprovincialis (Mediterranean mussel)
Lineage: Eukaryota; Metazoa; Mollusca; Bivalvia; Mytilida; Mytilidae
Source: RNAcentral